RNAcentral lists this ribosomal RNA (75 nucleotides) under uncultured soil eukaryote. RNAcentral's name for it is "partial 5.8S ribosomal RNA". It matches the Rfam family "5.8S ribosomal RNA", at positions 82 to 154 of the family's 154-position model. Rfam says of the family: 5.8S ribosomal RNA (5.8S rRNA) is a component of the large subunit of the eukaryotic ribosome. It is transcribed by RNA polymerase I as part of the 45S precursor that also contains 18S and 28S rRNA. Functionally, it is thought that 5.8S rRNA may be involved in ribosome translocation. The record is from RNAcentral.
GCGUGAAUCUUCGAAUCUUUGAACGCACAUUGCGCCCUCUGGUAUUCCGGAGGGCAUGCCUGUUUGAGCGUCGUU